RNAcentral lists this small RNA (176 nucleotides) under Gopherus agassizii (Agassiz's desert tortoise). Its description in RNAcentral is "TUC338 (ENSGAGG00000009506.1)". The record is from RNAcentral. Lineage: Eukaryota; Metazoa; Chordata; Testudines; Testudinidae.
UUGAAACUCCCCCAAAAAUGAAGUUACAGAUCAGCCCACAGAACAGGUAUAGCAUGGGCAGCUGCAGCCCAAGCUUUCCUACACUGCUCCACCAGUCUUCUGUCACCCUGACCUGGACAUAUCUUUAGGAUUCAGAGGGUAGUUGAGUCUCUGUUCUUAUUUAGUGCAUAGCCUUU